UUUGUUACAGGAAUGAUAGAAAGGACAAUAGGACAUAGUUUGUUUGUGUAGCACCUGAACGUGAGGGCAAGCGGUUAUGCAUCGUAGGGGACCGACAUUGUUUUAGGUUGUGGCAGUCCAGGUAGUGUGAACCAUUGCGGACAUAGCCACCAGUAAAGGAUGAACCUGGCGUUGGCCUACAUUGAGCUGACAGAGGAGCUGGGUCGUGUGAGAGGUCUGGCUGUCAGACAGACUGAGAUCCUGAGGAAGGCAUCCCACAAGCAGAUGGGGCGGAGGAGAUACGAACACACGGCAGGCCGGUGCUAUUUUCCAGCCAGUCAGCAGGAUGUGCAUCAUAGUUCAUUGUGGGGGACGAACCAAGGCACCGACCAAGCUGCUGCUGUUUUUACAGGAAGGGGUAAAAAUAACCAAUCGACAAAGGUUCCACCAUCCGGGACCUAGGGCCGGGGCUGGGGCCGGGGGUUGGGCCGGCAUAACAUGACAUGAAAAACUCCUGUUAUGUUUGUUUGUUUUUAGAUAAAAGGAAAACAGCAAUUUGCACACAACAAGCAAGGAUGCUCUUUGAGGUUGUGUUCCCGGAUCUUUUGUCAAAGUACUGUAGUUAUUUUGUUAUUAACAGGUUAUAAUCACCUGAAAUAUAAUUUUCAACCACUAUGCCAUGCCUAUGCGGUAUUUGUCAUAACAGUAUUCUUGUGUUUUAUUGUUGGUUGACAACAUUGUAGUACCAAAGACAUGACCUCAG
Molecule: non-coding RNA, 742 nt
Organism: Salvelinus sp. IW2-2015
Lineage: Eukaryota; Metazoa; Chordata; Actinopteri; Salmoniformes; Salmonidae
Source: RefSeq, a predicted model, not a curated record